RNAcentral lists this ribosomal RNA (479 nucleotides) under uncultured bacterium. RNAcentral describes it as "partial 16S ribosomal RNA". It matches the Rfam family "Bacterial small subunit ribosomal RNA", at positions 28 to 507 of the family's 1533-position model. The record is from RNAcentral.
GAUGAACGCUGGCGGCGUGCUUAACACAUGCAAGUCGAACGAAGCACUUAAGAUUGCUUCUUCGGAUGACGUCUUUUGUGACUUAGUGGCGGACGGGUGAGUAACGCGUGGGUAACCUGCCUCACACAGGGGGAUAACAGUUAGAAAUGACUGCUAAUACCGCAUAACCCGAUAGGAUCGCAUGAUCCAGACGGAAAAGAUUUAUCGGUGUGAGAUGGACCCGCGUCUGAUUAGCUAGUUGGUGAGGUAACGGCCCACCAAGGCGACGAUCAGUAGCCGGCCUGAGAGGGUGAACGGCCACAUUGGGACUGAGACACGGCCCAAACUCCAACGGGAGGCAGCAGUGGGGAAUAUUGCACAAUGGGGGAAACCCUGAUGCAGCGACGCCGCGUGAGUGAAGAAGUAUUUCGGUAUGUAAAGCUCUAUCAGCAGGGAAGAAAAUGACGGUACCUGACUAAGAAGCCCCGGCUAACUACGUG